GAUGAAGAACGUAGCGAAAUGCGAUAAGUAAUGUGAAUUGCAGAAUUCAGUGAAUCAUCGAAUCUUUGAACGCACAUUGCGCCCGCCAGUAUUCUGGCGGGCAUGCCUGUUCGAGCGUCAUUACAACCCUCAGGCCCCCGGGCCUGGCGUUGGGGAUCGGCGGAAGCCCCCUGCGGGCACAACGCCGUCCCCCAAAUACAGUGGCGGUCCCGCCGCAGCUUCCAUUGCGUAGUAGCUAACACCUCGCAACUGGAGAGCGGCGCGGCCACGCCGUAAAACACCCAACUUCUGAAUGUUGACCUCGAAUCAGGUAGGAAUACCCGCUGAACUUAAGCAUAUCAAUAAGUGGAGGA
Molecule: unclassified non-coding RNA, 353 nt
Filed under: soil metagenome
Description: partial contains 5.8S ribosomal RNA, internal transcribed spacer 2, and large subunit ribosomal RNA
Rfam family: 5.8S ribosomal RNA (bases 1-120)
Source: RNAcentral